This 205-nucleotide unclassified non-coding RNA is filed under the name Hevea brasiliensis (rubber tree). The record is from RNAcentral. Lineage: Eukaryota; Viridiplantae; Streptophyta; Magnoliopsida; Malpighiales; Euphorbiaceae.
GAUUCACAAAACAUUCUUCAAUGGCUAAUCAUAAGGUUUCUAUUGUGUUUUUAUUUAUGUUAGUUAGUGUAACUAUAUGUUAUGCUUCUUCUAGAGCUCUCCUCAAUCUAGAGGGAGGUCCUGGGUACAAUGUGGGUGGCAACAUUGGCUAUGGUGCAGGGCAUGGUGGUGGUUCCGGAGGCGGUUAUGGGGGAGGUGGAUCUGG